Molecule: long non-coding RNA, 2955 nt
Filed under: Sus scrofa (pig)
Lineage: Eukaryota; Metazoa; Chordata; Mammalia; Artiodactyla; Suidae
Description: lncRNA (ENSSSCG00050044672.1)
Source: RNAcentral
AAAGCAUUUUAUAAUACACAGGACAGCCAGCCCCUCACCCCAACCCAACAAUGAUUUUACGCCAAAAUGUCAAUAGUUCUGAGGUUGAGAACCUUGUUCUCGAUUAUGAAUUUUCCACCUAUUGAGAGCUAAUAUGUAAGGAGAAAUGCUACUGGUAUGAGUGCACUGAGCUUGGGCCCCAGAGUUAGGAACAUUUGAGAUUUGGCACUCUGUCUUGUAGCUAUAACACCAAACCCUGUGAUUUUGCCCUGUUCUUGUAAAUGAUAGUCUUGAUUAUUUGCUGAAAAAAAUCCAUCCCAAUUAGUCCCUUCAUUUGCUGUGUGACCUUGGGUAAAUCACUUAAGCUCUCUGGGCCUCAAUUUCCGCACAUAAAAUGCAACGGUUGCAAGAAUUGAUCUCCGAGGUAUUUUUCAAUUUUCACAUUCUAUGCCCAUAAAAGUAUAGGAAGCACAUGAAUACGGCCCUUCCUGUCCUCCAGAUGGUUAUGAUCCAAGCUCCCUGGUCUGCCACGCCUUCAAAUCAGGGUGACCUUGCCUCUUCCUUCUCCCAUGACCCGAUCAAUUUCUGGGCCCAUUUUUAUAAAAAAAAAAAAAUGAUACACUCCUCAGGCCCUGGGGUUUCAAAUAGCUCCUGGUUAAGUUAGGACUCAAUAAAUAUUUCAGAGUUAAACCCAAAAUAGCAACCUGGCUCCUCCCUCGUAUUAAACAGAUUGAAGACUUCUCCACAGUGGGAAGUGGUGGGAAAAGAAUAUCUCGGCAAUUGAAGACAUAUGUGGAUAGGGCGGUUUUAGCCUCUGGCUGUAUCAAAGAGACAGACUCCUAAAGUGCAUUCACGGAUGACCUGCCGAUAUCAGCACUUUGGUCCAGAUAAAUGGAGUCAGCGGUAAAGGACACGUAUGUUUGCAUUUGGAGAAGAGCCUGCAGCUUCCCAGUUCCCAGUUAUGACUGUGUCUACAUAAGCAUGUUAAUAAAUCACAACUCAGUACUAAGCACCGUCUUCACACGUUUAAUAAUCCUCUCUGACUUGAAUCCAAGUCUCAGCCUGGAAACCGUUGGUUGAAACUGGCCCCUUCUGUGAAAGAUAAAGUUGGUGAAAUAGAAAUAUCCUUCUGAGAAGUUAAUGGGCUUCUCGUUUACAACCAGCCACUGGAGACAUUAAUACAGACAGACCCACAAAAGCCAAAACCUCAUCCGUAGAAAUAUGUGCACCUAUUUUUGAAUUUGCUCAUCGUUGGUUAGUCCUGGCCCUUAAUAGUGAGCAAGGUGGGCAGAGAAGUACUGAGCCAGGAACUAGGAGAAGAGGGUUUGGAAAGGACCCGCUUGGGCCUGUUCCCAUGGGCCGUUGCCCAUCCAGGAGCCCAUUCUCCUGCCCAUCAGAUUAUUCUGGGCUGCUUUCCCCAAACCUGGCCCAUUGUGCAGAACUCCAAGGCAAAGCUGGCACUUGGAAACCCCAGUUUCAUGAAUGUCUCGGUUACAGAUUUCUGGUCUUAAUUACAGGGUUGGAGAAGUGAUGUGUGUUUUCUAAGAUUAGCUUUUAUACCAGCUACUGUAACUGGCUAAACUCUUGCUCUUGCAGAAGCAGCCUAGCAGCCAGAGGGAAAUGACUUUCUGCGAUGGGGCAAAGAGUCAUCAGCGUGCUUGGGGGAAGCCUUUUCCAGAAACCCCUUUUUACUGUGUGGUUUAUGUGUGCUGGCUGAGGAUUUCUGACUUGGAAAGGAAAAAAGGCUAGCCCUGGCAUGUUCUCCAGGCCCUCACAGAUGAGCAGCAGCAAAAACACGUGAGUGCUUCUUUUAACGUCUUGGCUUGUAUCAGGUCUGCCCAAUGUUCAAAGCCAGUCACAAACUGAGAAUGAAGGAGUGGGGAAAUAUAUGCCCCUUUUGGUCAGCAGAACUGCCUAGUCCCAUGGCAAAGGCUGAGAAUGCUGAGAGGGGUGAAGGAUCGGAGCCUUUCGUGUGGUAAGUCUAUCCCUAUGCUGGUUGAUGAUACGGUCAGCAUCAUCUUUUUUAUUAGUAGCAAAGGCAAUUAUAUGUAUCUAUGGCGAUUUAAAUAUAUUCUUGCUUCUGUUUAAGGUGAAACUUCUUUUCAGUAGGAAAAAAUAGCCAAUAAAUACUUUUUAAUGAAGAAAAAAUUAUCGACUUUUUCCUACGGAAGAGAAGAGCAUUUCAUCUUAAAGUGAAGCAAGAGCAUAUUUAAAUACUUUUUUCUUUUUGGUCUUUUUUGUCUUUUCUAGGGCCACACCCACGGCAUAUGGAGGUUCCCAGGCUAGGGGUCUAAUCAGAGCUGUAGCCACCGGCCUACACCAGAGCCACAGCAACUCGGGAUCCGUACCGCAUCUGCAACCUACACCACAGCUCAUGGCAACGCCGGAUCCUUAACCUGCUGAGCAAGGCCAGGGAUGGAACUCAAAACCUCAUGAUUCCUAGUCGGAUUCGUUAACCACUGAGCCACAAUGGGAACUCCUAAAUACUUUUUAAUAAAAGCUACAUGGAUGAAAAGAGAAGGCGGCUUCAGCAAAUUUGGGAUAGUGAGUGGGUUUACUGGCUAUGAAAGGUGAUUUGUUCACGCGUGGGAUGGGGAGAGGCAGGUAAAGGUUGAAAAUUAGGUUGGAAAUAGAUUGUGAAGGACAUUGACUCUCAAGCCGAGGAAUCUAGACCCUUUAAUUAAUGUGAGCAGUGGGGAAAUAUUAAUAUUAUACUAGGGUGGAAGUUGAAAGUGACUUUGGAAUUAAAUAAAAGUAUCUUCAAAGGAAGACCCAUCUAACUGCUUGUUUUCUGCUUUUAUUGAAACGCUAAUGUCAGUAAGUGGAUGGAAAUGCUGCAGUGUGGGGGCUUGGCUGGUUCCAGACAGUUUACAUGAGACAGACUCCCCCACUUUAGUCACCUGGUGGGUCUAGUGGCUUUGUUUUUUUUUAUAACUUCCUGCACACUUAAAUAUCGUACAGCUCCUGUGAAUGUGU